UACGUAGGGUGCGAGCGUUAAUCGGAAUUACUGGGCGUAAAGCGUGCGCAGGCGGUUCGUUGUGUCUGGUGUGAAAGCCCCGGGCUCAACCUGGGAAUGGCAUUGGAAACUGGCGAGCUAGAGUGUGGCAGAGGGGGGUGGAAUUCCGCGUGUAGCAGUGAAAUGCGUAGAGAUGCGGAGGAACACCGAUGGCGAAGGCAGCCCCCUGGGCUGACACUGACGCUCAGGCACGAAAGCGUGGGGAGCAAACAGG
This 253-nucleotide ribosomal RNA is filed under the name uncultured bacterium. RNAcentral's name for it is "partial 16S ribosomal RNA". It matches the Rfam family "Bacterial small subunit ribosomal RNA", at positions 524 to 776 of the family's 1533-position model. The record is from RNAcentral.